UGGGGAAUUUUGGACAAUGGGCGCAAGCCUGAUCCAGCAAUGCCGCGUGAGUGAAGAAGGCCUUCGGGUUGUAAAGCUCUUUCAGUCGAGAAGAAAAGAUUACUGAUAAUACCAGUAAUCCAUGACGGUAUCGACAGAAGAAGCACCGGCUAACUACGUGCCAGCAGCCGCGGUAAUACGUAGGGUGCGAGCGUUAAUCGGAAUUACUGGGCGUAAAGGGUGCGCAGGCGGUUAUGUAAGUCAGAUGUGAAAUCCCCGGGCUUAACCUGGGAACUGCGUUUGAAACUACAGGACUAGAGUGUGGCAGAGGGGGGUGGAAUUCCAUGUGUAGCAGUGAAAUGCGUAGAGAUAUGGAAGAACAUCGAUGGCGAAGGCAGCCCCCUGGGUUAACACUGACGCUCAUGCACGAAAGCGUGGGGAGCAAACAGGAUUAGAUACCCUGGUAGUCCCUGAGCGGGCUGGCAAGGCGCAU
RNAcentral lists this ribosomal RNA (472 nucleotides) under uncultured bacterium. RNAcentral describes it as "bacterial SSU rRNA". It matches the Rfam family "Bacterial small subunit ribosomal RNA", at positions 355 to 825 of the family's 1533-position model. The record is from RNAcentral.